GGAUAUUGUGUAGGAAUCGUCGGUUAUCUUGAAACAUCUGACAGUUAGUUGCAUUGGAAACGGAAAUCAUGAAGGCUGCAAUUUUUUUGUGUUGUGUGCUUUUGGUGAUCAGCAUAGACGCUCAGGAUGAUUUCAAAAUUGAUCAAAAUUUUUAUAAAAAUUUUGGAUACGAUGUAAACUGCAACGAGAAUCAAACAUUUUCAGAAUAUUCUAUGUGUGAAAAAAGAUGUGAUCAAAUGAAUCCUCCCGAGAACUGCCCUGAUGUGGACUAUGUAGGAUGUGGCUGCAAAGAUGGUUAUAUACCAGUUGACAAAAGUUUCCAUAAGUGCGUACUUCCACAAGAUUGUCCUUAACAACAUUUAACGAUGAUGCCUAUGAUGAUGUCUUGUGAUUAAAAGAAUCAGUAAAUCGAUAAUUCCCUGGCAAUAUUCUCAAAGAGAUAUUACAAACCAAUUCACGUCUGUGGAGACUCUAUGUGAUUUAAUUUAAUAAAUUUUAAACUGCAUUAAAAAUGAAUGCAUUUACUGUAAAUAAAAGGGUAAAUAAGUCUUUCAUUUUUAAAUUGUGUAAAGUUGAAUAUAUUUUAAACUGCAUUUAAAACACGAAUGAAAACUUUUAUUGUAAAUAAUUAAUGUUUAUUAAGUUUUUAUUUUUAUUAUUAAAGAAAGAAAUAAAAAAUUACAACAGUGUA
Molecule: long non-coding RNA, 691 nt
Organism: Argiope bruennichi
Lineage: Eukaryota; Metazoa; Arthropoda; Arachnida; Araneae; Araneidae
Exons: 3
Source: RefSeq, a predicted model, not a curated record